Molecule: ribosomal RNA, 253 nt
Filed under: uncultured bacterium
Lineage: Bacteria
Description: partial 16S ribosomal RNA
Rfam family: Bacterial small subunit ribosomal RNA
Source: RNAcentral
GACAGAGGGUGCAAACGUUGUUCGGAAUUACUGGGCGUAAAGCGCGUGUAGGCGGCCCGGUAAGUCGGAUGUGAAAGCCCUGGGCUUAACCUAGGAAGUGCAUUCGAAACUCUCGGGCUUGAGUUCUGGAGAGGAAGGCGGAAUUCUCGGUGUAGAGGUGAAAUUCGUAGAUAUCGAGAGGAACACCGGUGGCGAAGGCGGCCUUCUGGACAGUGACUGACGCUGAGACGCGAAAGCGUGGGGAGCAAACAGG